GAUGAACGCUGGCGGCGUGCUUAACACAUGCAAGUCGAACGAUGAAGCCCAGCUUGCUGGGUGGAUUAGUGGCGAACGGGUGAGUAACACGUGAGUAACCUGCCCUUAACUCUGGGAUAAGCCUGGGAAACUGGGUCUAAUACCGGAUAGGAGCGUCCACCGCAUGGUGGGUGUUGGAAAGAUUUAUCGGUUUUGGAUGGACUCGCGGCCUAUCAGCUUGUUGGUGAGGUAAUGGCUCACCAAGGCGACGACGGGUAGCCGGCCUGAGAGGGUGACCGGCCACACUGGGACUGAGACACGGCCCAGACUCCUACGGGAGGCAGCAGUGGGGAAUAUUGCACAAUGGGCGAAAGCCUGAUGCAGCGACGCCGCGUGAGGGAUGACGGCCUUCGGGUUGUAAACCUCUUUCAGUAGGGAAGAAGCGAAAGUGACGGUAUCUGCAGAAGAAGCACCGGCUAACUACGUG
RNAcentral lists this ribosomal RNA (466 nucleotides) under uncultured bacterium. RNAcentral's name for it is "partial 16S ribosomal RNA". It matches the Rfam family "Bacterial small subunit ribosomal RNA", at positions 28 to 507 of the family's 1533-position model. The record is from RNAcentral.